This is a long non-coding RNA of Raphanus sativus (radish), 2462 nucleotides long. RefSeq lists it as uncharacterized. The transcript has 19 exons. The record is from RefSeq and is a predicted model, not a curated record. Lineage: Eukaryota; Viridiplantae; Streptophyta; Magnoliopsida; Brassicales; Brassicaceae.
GGUUGCAACGAGAAAGCUUUGCGAUCUUCCAUGGAUGCAGAUUCCGAUCAGUUUAUGUUUAACGGUUUCCUUGAGAAAAGAGACUUGGUUUAGUGUUUUUGGCGAAUGGUAAAGGAAUACACAUAUUGACAUAUAUGUGCAUUCUUUCAUAUGCGUACCAUACAUACAUUCAUAUGGAUACCAUACAUGCAUUCAUAUGCAUUAUGCAUACCAUACAUGCAUUCAUAUGGCAUACCAUACAUGCAUUCAUAUGCAUACAUUCAUAUGUAUACAUUCCUAUAUGCCCACUCGUAUGUUUAUUUAUGUAGAUUCAAGAUUUACUUCCAUUCUUCUCUCUUUGUUAGAUUUUGUUUAGCUUAUACAUUUUGUCAUUUCAGCGUCACUCAGAAACUUUACAUUCUGUUUAGCUAGAAAGCCUCUCACCCAUCUGAGUUUUGUAUUUUGGUUUGAUUUUAAAAAGAUGAUUUGUUAAAUGACAAUGGAGAACUCGUUUCUACUACUCAGCAUGCUCUCUCUGAAUACCAGAGUGACUGAAUUUUCACCACUUGCUCUGCUUGCUUCAUCCUCCCCUAAAAGAGUCUCUAUUCAAGCAAGCUGCAUAUGGCGUAGAGGUUGAGUGAAUAUAGGAGCUUAGAAUCUGGAGUAUCCAACGUUUCUGUACGCCAUUGUCUACGACAAAGAUGAGUAUUCUUCUCUCCUUCUAUUACAGUCGUCACCACGACAGUUCUGUUGCUCAUCAGCGGAAUCCCUUGAAAGAGACAUGUCUAGCCUGAAAGAUGUCAGGACCUUUAAUUUUCUAAGAAAAAAGAAGAAGUUCAUGUUAAGAUUAGAUACACUCGGAAUCCGAAUUCUAAAGACUUAUCAGGAGGAAUGGUCUUAUAUCCCUGUCGGUGGUUCCUUGGCUUUGGUGCUGCAGGCUAUUCAGUUGUGAGAUCUUUGUUAGAAGCUCCAAAAUACGCGUCAGUCAUCGCGGAUAUACUAAAACAUGAUACUACUUCCUUCACCAAACACAUCAAAAAAGAUGAUUUGUUAAGUGACAAUGGAGAACUCGUUUCUACUCAGCAUGCUCUCUCUCUCUCUCUGAAUACCAUAGUGACUGAAUUUUCACCACUUGCUCUUGCUUCAUAUGGUUUACCAGAAGCAUAAAAUUCUUUGUUCAAUGAGAGUUAUUAUCAUUAAGCCCUUGUCUAGAAUACAGACUCAUCGAGUAUACUUGUGCGUUUUAUAGGUAUCUUCCCUCAGGGAUUAACUCACCGCCGAGUCAUGAGAUCGAAUUUUGCAGGAGCAAUUGGCGAUAGGACAAAAAAAAGAAUAUGCACCAUGGACUCUAAAAUGGCAGAGUCUAUGUCAGACCAUGGAACUCUAAAAUGGGAGAGACAUAACGAGAGUCCUUUCAGCCAGGUAUCUUGACAUCAUUCUACAGCUGAACUAUAUCUGGAUAUGAGAAAGAGUACAAGCAAGAUCCACGAUGAGACUAUAUUCCACUUGUGGGAGCAGUUAUGAAAACUAAAAUUUUACAGAAACUACAAAAGUGAGAGAAUUAACUUCAUACAGUGAGGUGAUGAAAAAUGGUGCAGCAUAGGUGUGCCGAGUCAGGUGUCUCAUAUCUUUGCUUGAAAUUUGAGAGCAUAACAGAAGCUCCUGAUGGCCUUAGGCUCGUUGCCUGUCAAAAACAAAAUACACCGUUGUUCCGUGAGUGGAAUCAGUGAUAUGGCUUGCCAUUGUUGCUUCUGGAGCAGCUCUUGCAGUACGAAGUUGGAGGACCUAAAAGUCUCUAUUCAAGCAAGCUGCAUAUGGCGUAGAGGUUAGAAUCUGAGCCUGUUCUGUUUUAAAAUCUUCAGGCGGAAAACAGUCCGUGUAUUACAGAGAGCAUAGGAGCUGGAAUCCCUUGAAGGAGACAUGUCUAGCCUGAAAGAUGUCAGGACCUUUAAUUUUCUAAAAAAAGAAGAAAUUCAUGUUAAGAUUAGAUACACUUGGAAUCCGAAUUCUAAAGACUUAUCAAGAGGAAUGGUCUUAUAUCCCAGUCGGUGUUUCCUUGCCUUUGGUGCUGCAGCUAGCACGGUACAUCCCUCAACAGGUUAUUCAGUUGUGAGAUCUUUGUCAAAAGCUCCAAAAUACGCUUCAGUCAUCGCGGAUAUACUAAAACAUGAUACUACUUCCUUCACCAAACAUGAUACUCCUCCCGGUGAUGUGUUGGUUUUAGCAAGAAACGUGCACCAAAGCUGAUGAAAAAUGUUUACAUGUACCAAACCGAAUAAGUGUGCCAGAGAGUGGGAAGUGCAAGCAGAACUUGCAUCAUUUCACCAUUCAGAUAUGUAGUAAAUUCCAUAGCCAAUUUAAUACGUACACUCGAAAUCACAACGGCUAUGCUAUCCACAUAAAGUGUGAUCGUUGUAGUUUUGGAAACACACAUUCAUGGGUUCAUGCAUACAUACAUUCAUUUAUAUUUCCUUCUUGGUCAA